UGUAGGAAGGUGUUUGAAGCAUAGAAAACUUUGAUUUUUAAGGAUGAGUUUGAAUCUCAAUUCUACAA
This 68-nucleotide transfer RNA is filed under the name Mitjaevia dworakowskae. Its description in RNAcentral is "tRNA-Gln". Lineage: Eukaryota; Metazoa; Arthropoda; Insecta; Hemiptera; Cicadellidae. The record is from RNAcentral.